Molecule: non-coding RNA, 72 nt
Organism: Hysterangium stoloniferum
Lineage: Eukaryota; Fungi; Basidiomycota; Agaricomycetes; Hysterangiales; Hysterangiaceae
Source: the annotation of a GenBank genome assembly
GGUCAGGUGGUGUAAUGGUUAACACCCCUGUUAUAUAUACACAAGCCCUGGGUUCAAUACCCAGUCUGGCCA